Molecule: long non-coding RNA, 213 nt
Filed under: Panax ginseng (ginseng)
Lineage: Eukaryota; Viridiplantae; Streptophyta; Magnoliopsida; Apiales; Araliaceae
Description: long non-coding RNA (PGIN_LNC016109)
Source: RNAcentral
AUGUGAAUGUUAUUCCUAAUUAUAUAUGAUUUGAUUAUGAUAUAUAUGAAUGAAUAUUCAAGUAUGAUUGCAUUAAGAAAAGCUGUAAAGUCCUUUGAUAAAUAAUAGAAACAUGUGUACAAGGACUUAGAAUGAAUUGAUCAAGUAUGUUAGGUUGAUCCUACAUAAGCAAAACAGCUUUGUAAAGUCCUUAAAAAGAAAUGAUGUACAAGG